This is a long non-coding RNA of Dermacentor silvarum, 5246 nucleotides long. RefSeq lists it as uncharacterized. NCBI's taxonomy places the organism in Eukaryota, Metazoa, Arthropoda, Arachnida, Ixodida, Ixodidae. The transcript is spliced from 2 exons. The record is from RefSeq and is a predicted model, not a curated record.
GAUUGCAGUGUAUUAAGUAGUGAGUCUUGUGUGCUUUUGCAGCUUUGCUUUGUUUUCAAGUCUGAACAGGUACUUAUUGCUUUUCUACCUCUAAACGUUAGCCAAAUUUUUCAGUGAUGUAUAGUCUACUGUAGGAGGCACCAAUGGCCUGUGCAAGUGAAUGUUCGCUGGAAGCUUCGGUGCUAAGCCUCUCAUUUACUCUUUUUACCUUCCUUUGUAGUACUGCACAACAAAAAUAAUCAGAAAAGUGCUGAGACAGCAAAAAAAUAGCUAGUAUUUUCAGUAAAUCUCUGACUUCAGACGUUUUCCCCCCAGUCCUGUAAGCUAGCCAAAGCCCUGCCCCUCUACAUAUCUGCUGAACAAACACAUUUUUUAAACUAUAGCCCAAUAUCGCUUACCUCCAGUUCUGGUAAACUACUGGAGCAUAUCAUACACAAGCAUAUAAUAGAAUACCCUGAAUCCAAGCUAGGAGGCUGUACAGAGGAAGGCGUGGGGCGAGAAAGAAUGCGAUAAAGGUUAAUAGUACAGUGGUGACGGCAGCCGGUGAGACGCAAAGGUACUAUCUCGCAUAAUAUAGGUGCACUGAUGUCUUCUGGCUGCAGAAACAUGAAUGGUAGCAGUGCUCUAUUGCGGUCAUCUUCUUUCAUUGCAGGUGUGUACAGGGAGUAAACUGAAGUGAAUGCAUGCUGUAGAAAUAAGCACUGCACAUUAACAUCAUUUUGAGGCCACCAUCAUCACAGUAACAAGAAAAAUUACGUCAUAAAGAGACGAGGAAACACACUAGCUUCAAAUCAUCCCGAAGUAGGUGACACUAUACUCUGUUUUAUACAUAGUAGGCACUGCUGUGAAAGCUAGAGAGACUUCUCUUGCUACUUGUAUUGAUGACCCAAAAAUUUUUUGUCACAUAUGAAAGUAAAAUAUAGGUACACAUAAUGCAAUUCGAUGGAAAAUUAGGUCUUGUACUUUUUUGUCGCAAAAUAUGAUGAUUUAUUGCAUAGAAGGCAUCGGAGAUCUGAUCCUGUCUAACACCAAACGAUUGGAGCGACAUGUUUCUGUGACCAGCAGCCACAGUGCAUUACUUGCGCUCGCGACCAAAACAAAGUAUGUCGCAUACUGGCAGCACCAAGGUACACAAAUAAUACGUCAUUUCACAUAAACAUGAGUCCGCAAGCCCUAGUUGCAAUAUAUGAUGUACACAUAUUACGUAGAAAGUUUCGCAGAGGAUAAACAACUGCACUGCGGAAUGUGUGGAUGUGACUUCUAUGACCACACUACUUGCGUAGCUUCCGCACCAUUGCCUGCUACGUAUGAAACAGAGUAUAGUGUUUCUGUGUGGUGUUGUGCUCAAGCAGGUUGGACAUAGCCACGUGGAAUAAAAGUUGAGGAGGAAUGCCGUAACUAAAAGGAAGGCAAUUUUUAACCACUUGUAGCUUUAAUAUAUAGUGUGCCAAUAUAAAAUUCUUGUGAGAAAGCAAUCAAUGGCACGGCAAAAUUAUUUCAAGGACCCUUUAAAGGGGCCCUGAACCAUUCUUUUUCGAAGUAGAGAAAUGCAUUUGAAGUUAAAUAGGCUAUUUCAGAAAUACUUUGCCGCAAAAAGUCCUUCAAUGCGUUCAGCAGAGCGGAGUUAAUGGCAAUCAAACAUGCCCUUUGCGGUCCUUCACCAUCUUUACCAACGGAUAGUAGCCGUAUCCAACUUGCGCAUUUUGAAGCGAUAUCAGUAAGUCUGCCAAGGCGUCUAACCAGCAGUGGCCAGGAGUGAGCGCAUGCUGGCAAGCAUACGUGUGGUCUGACCUUAAGUUUCGCGAGGUUCGAGGCUAGUCGAGCGUUCAAAGCUACCAUAUUUUCCGGGCUGUAAGUCGCACCUUUGUAUAAGUUGUACCCCCCUCAAAACGGCCGUUUUUCCCGAACAAAAAAACGGAUAUAAGUCACACCGGUGCAUAAGACGCACCUGUUCGUUCGGUAAGCGAUUAAAAAACCCGUUGAGGAUCAGGUUGUGAGGAAGUGUGACGAAAAUAUGUGCUUGCAGCGAUCGCCGCCUCUGCACGUAUACUGCGGUAGGCAGUGCUGACACAUGUGUAAGCGCCUUUCAGUGUCUAGACAAUACUUUUCAUAAGUAUUUUAUUCUGAUAGCAUGAACAAUGCUAAUGAUGGCUUACAUGACAGCAUUUAGUCAAAGCCAUCGAAGUCAUCCUCCUCCAAGCCGCUGACAAACAAUGCAGCUACUUCAGGUUGGAGUUCCGUUGGCACAUCACUGUCUUCCGACUCGCUAGUAUCCAACUCGCCAACAUCACCAUCAGCCGCGAACGGGAUCAACCCAGCCUUGUGAAACCAUGCCGCAAUCGUUUUCUCAGAAAUUGAGUUCGAUGACUCACUAACCCAUUUGGCCACUUCUCCAUGCUCCGUGUGUCGCAUGCGCCCUGUUUUUGUGAAGCUAUGCUCCCCUCUGACAUCCAGGUCUCCCACAAACGUUGCAGAACCACUUUAAAACUGCGGUUCAGAGUAAUGUCGAGUGGCUGAAGCAUCUUCGUCAUGCCGCCAAGUAUGAUGACUGGGAUGCAGUUCUUUGAACCUAUCUUUUUUUUUUUCUUGAUGAUAUCGGUGAUAUGCGCCUGCAUACUGUCCAUCACCAGCAUUCCUGGCUUCACGUUAAAGAAUCCAUCUGAUCGAUGUGAAAAACAACGGUCAAGCCACACAUCCAUCAUUUCUUCAUCCAUCCAUCCCUUUGUGUUCGCCUGAACCACCACAGUGGGAGUAAAAAAGUCCUUUGGCAACGUUUUUCGUUUAAAAAUCAGCAUGGGAGGCAGCUUUGUGCCAUCCGCACAACAGGCGAGGAACAACGGUGAAGUGCGACUUUUCAUGGCCUGUUGUCCUCACCGUAACAGUUUUUUUGCCUUUCUCGGUGACGCUUCUCCCAAGCGAAAUAUCGAAAGUCAGCGGACUUCAUCCAUGUUGAUGAUGUGGCUCACACUGACAUUCUUCUCAAUUUCCUCCCUGAAGAAUGAGCAGAAGUUGUUAAGCUGUGCCUGAAAGUUGUCAGGCAGCUUCUGGCACAUUGAAAUCCGCGCUCUCAGACCAGCUUAUUCCGUCGCAUAAAGUGGAAACACCACGAUGGACCACCCUCGAAGCCAGCAGCAUUGGGCUCUGUUGCCAGGGUCUUCGCAUUCAGACACAGCUGCACUGUUGACAACCCUCUGCCUUCAGCUCAUUGUUGCAGUGCCCACGUUCGCAGACGAGUCUCGAGAUCCAGCCAACGUGCCUUCUUGCCGCAGUUUGAUUUCUUUGUUGACUUCAUUGUCCGGAGCACACUGGAGGCUUUGCACCAGUCCAUGAUCAUUUUCUCACUGACUUCGAAUUCCCUCCCUGCUGCUCGGUUUCCAUGCACCACUGCAAGUUCAACUGCACGCAGCUUGAAUCUUGCGUUGUAACUUCGGCGACUUUGCUUCGCAUGCGGCGUCGUGGUUAGUGAGGCUGCGACGACACACGUGAUGUGCGCAGCAACAGCGGCAACGAGUGCAAUGAAGUUGUUGAUGUUGAUGUGGCUUCACCCUUUAGAACGGGAGGUAGCUAGUGUGUGGUAACAAGAAUUAAAACAAUAAAAUAACAGUGUGAAUAAAGAAAAAAAAGCAAACAAAACUGCUGUGCAUGGCAGAAGGCGACUAGCGGUGGAGCGUCAUUUGAUGCCCACUCAAUAGAGAGGGACGUGGCUAUCGCAUCCUAUCCUGAUUUUGGCUGUAUAUAAGAUGCACCGACAAAUAAUUCAGAAAAAAAACGUGUCUUAUACACCGGAAAGUACAGUAGUCAAAAUUGGCAGGACCCAACGGCUACGACACCGAUAAGCAGGUUGACCAAUGUUUAAUUCCUAUGUGGGUGGCCACGGCUGAGCAUUAGUAGACGAUAUUUGGCUUCUUACGGAACUACGUAAUUAUCGAAAUUCAAAAACAGAUUUUCGCUAACUUCAGCCUGUUUAUUAAACUUUGGGGAAAAUGUGACUUCAUGCUCCGCUUGCGAGCUCCACGUGCCGCACCCGAUGGCAAAACUUGGCUGAGACGUUCACAGCAGUGUAUGCUAUCCGCGGAUUGUGUUUUUUCACCAACCCCAAGGGUUGGUUCAGGACUCCUUUAAGAAACACACUGCAGCAUAAGGCUGCAAAAAUGUUCAAUUUUUUAGUGAUUUUCUUGUGUUCAUGAACGUGGACUCCAUACCUCAAACUUAAGAAAAUAUUGCAGAUACAGGAAUAAAAUUGUUCAUUUGAAGUGAAGUCUACUCAGAAGGCACCUAGUCAUUUUGGAGUCUUGCCUUAACACAGUUGGCCCAUGUUAAUGAAUGGGUUGUUUGAUGGGGCCACAGAUAUUUGUCUGAAUUAUGCAGAGGUGAAUGAAUGCUGUGUAAAAAAUGUUCGCAAAGCAAUUUUGUGCAACCCUCUGUACAACCUUAAAGGUAAUGCAGCAUAGACGUAAAGCUAAUGGAUGCUUUGAAAAAGAGAACAGAGACCCUGUGCAUGCCUUGCUGGGAUAUCGGAGCCACAAAUGUGCAAGUGUGUUGGUUGGACCCUCUCUUGCUUGUGCCUGUAAAUGUUCGCAGUAGCUUGAAUGUCAAACAUACGUAGACACAUUUUCAUUACUCAUUAUGAUUGUUGUGUCUUCGGCAUUUUUAGAUGCAUUGUGCUGUCCUGGGAGGCCAAUAAGCUUGAAUUUACUAAUUACAGAAAAGCAUAGCUUGAAUUAAGCAUCUUCGAAGUACAUUAAAAUCAUAGCAGAUCAACAAAAGUUUUAAACUUGUUUGAAUUUACUGGAAUUUUUAUUUAUCAAGUUUGAAUUAUUGUAAGUCAACUGCAAACUGGUAGUGUCUAACACAACAAAAGAAAAGAACUUGUUGCAUUACCACCAGCUGGUGGUGCCAUUAAUCGCCUAGACAUUUUUCUUAAUAACAAAGAGGAAAUUAACACACAUGAUCCUAUGAAACUAAACAGGGCUGGUGCUCCAGUGUGCAAGAGCUGGGAAACGUCACAAACAGGUAGGUAGGAAUGAGGUUCUACUGUAUUUAGCUUAGGGCUCACUUGCACUUAUCAAAAUGAGACCUAGCCAGGCCCGCUUGAACUUUGGAUUCACCAAAGCCAGACCCUGACAGACUCACUCGGACUGAGACUCGCGAGAAUCGGACCGAGGCAAGCUCACUCAAACUCACGGACUCGCACUCGCUCAAGGUCACUCAGGUUCACUGAAUCACAGUUCCACUCGGAUUAUGGA